Molecule: long non-coding RNA, 1529 nt
Filed under: Salmo salar (Atlantic salmon)
Lineage: Eukaryota; Metazoa; Chordata; Actinopteri; Salmoniformes; Salmonidae
Description: lncRNA (ENSSSAG00000106770.1)
Source: RNAcentral
UGAGUUUAUAUAUUCACAUUAUAUAUGACCUGGUGAGUUUAUAUAUUAUAUUAUAUAUGACCUGGUGAGUUUAUAUAUUAUUUAUGACCUGGUGAGUUUAUAUAUUCACUUUAUAUUAUAUAUGACCUGGUGAGUUUAUAUAUUCACAUUAUAUAUGACCUAGUGAGUUUAUAUAUUCACAUGAUAUAUAAUAGGGACUGGUAGCAGCCAGUGACUACAGUUAGGUCUUGGGGGUUGGUUAAUAGGGACUGGUAGCAGCCAGGGACUACAGUUAGGUCUUGGGGGUUGGUUAAUAGGGACUGAUAGCAGGGACUACAGUUGGGUCUUGGGGGUUGGAUAAUAGGGACUGGUAGCAGCCAGGGACUACAGUUAGGUCUUGGGGGUUGGUUAAUAGGGACUGGUAGCAACCAGGGACUACAAUUAGGUCUUGGGGGUUGGUUAAUAGGGACUGGUAGCAGCCAGGGACUACAGUUAGGUCUUGGGGGUUGGAUAAUAGGGACUGGUAGCAGCCAGGGACUACAGUUAGGUCUUGGGGGUUGGUUAAUAGGGACUGGUAGCAGCCAGGGACUACAGUUAGGUCUUGGGGGUUGGUUAAUAGGGACUGGUAGCAGCCAGGGACUACAGUUAUGUCUUGGGGGUUGGUUAAUAGGGACUGGUAGCAGCCGGGGACUACAGUUAGGUCUUGGGGGUUGGUUAAUAGGGACUGGUAGCAGCCAGGGACUACAGUUAGGUCUUGGGGGUUGGUUAAUAGGGACUGGUAGCAGCCAGGGACUACAGUUAGGUCUUGGGGGUUGGUUAAUAGGGACUGGUAGCAGCCAGGGACUACAGUUAGGUCUUGGGGGUUGGUUAAUAGGGACUGGUAGCAGCCAGGGACUACAGUUAGGUCUUGGGGGUUGGUUAAUAGGGACUGGUAGCAGCCAGGGACUACAGUUAGGUCUUGGGGGGUUGGUUAAUAGGGACUGGUAGCAGCCAGGGACUACAGUUAGGUCUUGGGGGUUGGUUAAUAGGGACUGGUAGCAGCCAGGGACUACAGUUAGGUCUUGGGGGUUGGUUAAUAGGGACUGGUAGCAGCCAGGACUACAGUUAGGUCUUGGGGGUUGGUUAAUAGGGACUGGUAGCAGCCAGGGACUACAGUUAGGUCUUGGGGGUUGGUUAACAGGGACUGGUAGCAGCCAGGGACUACAGUUAGGUCUUGGGGGUUGGUUAAUAGGGACUGGUAGCAGCCAGGGACUACAGUUAGGUCUUGGGGGUUGGUUAAUAGGGACUGUUAGCAGCCAGGGACUACAGUUAGGUCUUGGGGUUGGUUAAUAGGGACUGGUAGCAGCCAGGGACUACAGUUAGGUCUUGGGGGUUGGUUAAUAGGGACUGAUAGCAGCCAGGGACUACAGUUAGGUCUUGGGGGUUGGUUAAUAGGGACUGGUAGCAGCCAGGGACUACAGUUAGGUCUUGGGGGUUGGAUAAUAGGGACUGGUAGCAGCCAGGGACUACAGUUAGGUCUUGGGGGUUGGUUAAUAGGGACUGAUAGCAGC